This is a long non-coding RNA of Helianthus annuus (common sunflower), 552 nucleotides long. RefSeq lists it as uncharacterized. The record is from RefSeq and is a predicted model, not a curated record. The transcript is spliced from 3 exons. Lineage: Eukaryota; Viridiplantae; Streptophyta; Magnoliopsida; Asterales; Asteraceae.
CCUGCACAUCAGAAAUUCUUGGAAGGAUAAAGCCCACGAUCUUCAGUUAGCGACGGUUUUCAGCUUUUCAUCUAUAACCGGUUGUGGCCCCUUUCUCCGGUGAUUCUAAAUGCAAAAGAUACAUACAUGUUAAAUCCUUGUCUCUUUUCUUCAUCGCAUCUUCUCUCUGUGUUUCUCUGGUCCCUCGUCUCGGUAAUUAUUCAUAACAGCAGUCAAAAUUGGUUGCCUAUAUGUCCCAUCUCCACAACCUAAAUCUGCAUUUUCACCUUCGAAUUACCAUCUGUUCAAGGCAAACCUUGGUGUUGGAACAUAGCGCACAUCAUUACCUGGAGUGGCCAACACUUCCAUGCUGCUAAAGAUCUGAAAAGCCCUAUGUAUACAGAGAUGGACUAAGCGAAGCCUAACAAAAGUCUCAAUGUGUAGAAUGUGGAAUAUCACAAGAGUUCUAUGGAGGCUGCAAGAAGUUCAAGUAUUAAGGCGAGGCAAUUAGCGGCUUCUAGUCUCUGGUGUCUCCUUUUUCAAUUGGAUUUUAAAGUAAUUGACAGUGAUGUU